GAUGAACGCUGGCGGCGUGCCUAAUACAUGCAAGUCGAGCGAACAGAUGAGGAGCUUGCUCCUCUGACGUUAGCGGCGGACGGGUGAGUAACACGCGGAUAACCUACCUAUAAGACUGGGAUAACUUCGGGAAACCGGAGCCAAUACCGGAUAAUAUAUUGAACCGCAUGGUUCAAUAGUGAAAGACGGUUUUGCUGUCACUUAUAGAUGGAUCCGCGCCGCAUUAGCUAGUUGGUAAGGUAACGGCUUACCAAGGCAACGAUGCGUAGCCGACCUGAGAGGGUGAUCGGCCACACUGGAACUGAGACACGGUCCAGACUCCUACGGGAGGCAGCAGUAGGGAAUCUUCCGCAAUGGGCGAAAGCCUGACGGAGCAACGCCGCGUGAGUGAUGAAGGUCUUCGGAUCGUAAAACUCUGUUAUUAGGGAAGAACAAAUGUGUAAGUAACUAUGCACGUCUUGACGGUACCUAAUCAGAAAGCCACGGCUAACUACGUG
RNAcentral lists this ribosomal RNA (497 nucleotides) under uncultured bacterium. RNAcentral's name for it is "partial 16S ribosomal RNA". It matches the Rfam family "Bacterial small subunit ribosomal RNA", at positions 28 to 507 of the family's 1533-position model. The record is from RNAcentral.